Molecule: long non-coding RNA, 223 nt
Filed under: Panicum hallii
Lineage: Eukaryota; Viridiplantae; Streptophyta; Magnoliopsida; Poales; Poaceae
Description: long non-coding RNA (PHAL_LNC000187)
Source: RNAcentral
GCCCGUGUCUGCCUUCUGCGAAUCUGCGGUAGUGCGGUUCUGCCCUUGAGGCUUGAGUGGUUGAGCCCUUGUGGCCUUCUGUCAAGUGUCAAGAUGUCAAGUACUAAGUUCUUGCUUCUUGGUUUCCUCUUUCUCUUUGGUUUUCACUUUUCAGGGCACUGCUAAGAGAGUCCGGUCACAGAGAUUUGGGAAUUUGUGGAGCUGCACUGCUGCGGUCCCCGGU